AAUAGAUACCCGGGUAGUCCACGCCGUAAACGAUGAGUGCUAAGUGUUAGAGGGUUUCCGCCCUUUAAUGCUGCAGCUAACGCAUUAAGCACUCCGCCUGGGGAGUACGGCCGCAAGGCUGAAACUCAAAGGAAUUGACGGGGGCCCGCACAAGCGGUGGAGCAUGUGGUUUAAUUCGAAGCAACGCGAAGAACCUUACCAGGUCUUGACAUCCUCUGCCAACCCUAGAGAUAGGGCGUUCCCCUUCGGGGGACAGAGUGACAGGUGGUGCAUGGUUGUCGUCAGCUCGUGUCGUGAGAUGUUGGGUUAAGUCCCGCAACGAGCGCAACCCUUGAUCUUAGUUGCCAGCAUUCAGUUGGGCACUCUAAGGUGACUGCCGGUGACAAACCGGAGGAAGGUGGGGAUGACGUCAAAUCAUCAUGCCCCUUAUGACCUGGGCUACACACGUGCUACAAUGGAUGGUACAAAGAGCUGCGAACCCGCGAGGGUAAGCGAAUCUCAUAAAAGCCAUUCUCAGUUCGGA
RNAcentral lists this ribosomal RNA (523 nucleotides) under uncultured bacterium. RNAcentral describes it as "bacterial SSU rRNA". It matches the Rfam family "Bacterial small subunit ribosomal RNA", at positions 777 to 1297 of the family's 1533-position model. The record is from RNAcentral.